CCUACGGGAGGCAGCAGUGGGGAAUAUUGCACAAUGGGGGAAACCCUGAUGCAGCGACGCCGCGUGAGUGAAGAAGUAAUUCGUUAUGUAAAGCUUCAUCAGUAGGGAAGAAAAUGACGGUACGUGUGUAUGAAGCCCCGGCUAACUACGUGCCAGCAGCCGCGGUAAUACGUAGGGGGCAAGCGUUAUCCGGAUUUACUGGGGGUAAAGGGAGCGUAGAGGGCAGUGCAAGUCUGGAGUGAAAGGCGGGGGCUCAACCCCCGGACUGCUCUGGAAACUGUACGGCUGGAGUACAGGCGAGGUAGGUGGAAUUCGUAGUGUAGCGGUGAAAUGCGUAGAUAUUAGGAAGAACACCAGUGGCGAAGGCAGCUUACUAGACUGUAACUGACAUUGAGGCUCGAAAGCGUGGGGAGCAAACAGGAUUAGAUACCCUUGUAGUC
Molecule: ribosomal RNA, 440 nt
Filed under: uncultured bacterium
Lineage: Bacteria
Description: partial 16S ribosomal RNA
Rfam family: Bacterial small subunit ribosomal RNA
Source: RNAcentral